GUCAGGAUGACCGAGUGGUCUAAGGCGCCAGACUCAAGUUCUGGUCUCCAUAUGGAGGCGUGGGUUCAAAUCCCACUUCUGACA
Molecule: transfer RNA, 84 nt
Filed under: Dallia pectoralis (Alaska blackfish)
Lineage: Eukaryota; Metazoa; Chordata; Actinopteri; Esociformes; Umbridae
Description: tRNA-OTHER
Rfam family: tRNA
About the family: Transfer RNA (tRNA) molecules are approximately 80 nucleotides in length. Their secondary structure includes four short double-helical elements and three loops (D, anti-codon, and T loops).
Source: RNAcentral